This 371-nucleotide ribosomal RNA is filed under the name Staphylococcus aureus. Its description in RNAcentral is "partial 23S ribosomal RNA". It matches the Rfam family "Bacterial large subunit ribosomal RNA", at positions 1 to 364 of the family's 2925-position model. The record is from RNAcentral. Lineage: Bacteria; Bacillati; Bacillota; Bacilli; Caryophanales; Staphylococcaceae.
AGAUUAAGUUAUUAAGGGCGCACGGUGGAUGCCUUGGCACUAGAAGCCGAUGAAGGACGUUACUAACGACGAUAUGCUUUGGGGAGCUGUAAGUAAGCUUUGAUCCAGAGAUUUCCGAAUGGGGAAACCCAGCAUGAGUUAUGUCAUGUUAUCGAUAUGUGAAUACAUAGCAUAUCAGAAGGCACACCCGGAGAACUGAAACAUCUUAGUACCCGGAGGAAGAGAAAGAAAAUUCGAUUCCCUUAGUAGCGGCGAGCGAAACGGGAAGAGCCCAAACCAACAAGCUUGCUUGUUGGGGUUGUAGGACACUCUAUACGGAGUUACAAAGGACGACAUUAGACGAAUCAUCUGGAAAGAUGAAUCAAAGAAGG